RNAcentral lists this non-coding RNA (173 nucleotides) under chicken gut metagenome. Its description in RNAcentral is "Lysine riboswitch". It matches the Rfam family "Lysine riboswitch aptamer". Rfam says of the family: Riboswitches are metabolite binding domains within certain messenger RNAs that serve as precision sensors for their corresponding targets. Allosteric rearrangement of mRNA structure is mediated by ligand binding, and this results in modulation of gene expression. The record is from RNAcentral.
AAAAGUAGAGGUUGCGUGAUUGAUGAGUAAGCUGUUGGAUAUGUUCUGGCAUAGAGGAAGGCAGUGGAAAGGUGAGAACGCCGAAGGAAUGGAUGCCAGAAUAUCAAUUCCUGGGAAUAUGGUGAAUAACCAUAUGACUGUCAUCUGAUUCAAGUCAGAUGGGGAGCUACUUA